Non-coding RNA from Pelobates cultripes (western spadefoot toad), 228 nucleotides. The record is from the annotation of a GenBank genome assembly. Lineage: Eukaryota; Metazoa; Chordata; Amphibia; Anura; Pelobatidae.
ACAGGCUCUGUGUGAGAACACCAGCAGGAAGCAUGGAAAAAGGAGAGAAACAGCUAGAAUGAUUUAUUACAGCAACUUUGGACAGGCAAUCUGAGAAUGGAGAUAGAGAACAGAUUUAUUUUAUUUACACAAAGCCAACAUACUGUAUUGGGGACAUUAACCUGUUAUGGGAAGCAAGUCUGUGCUUCCCAAAAAGGGGUAUGCAGUAGAGGUGUCACUUACAGCAAG